Molecule: ribosomal RNA, 468 nt
Filed under: uncultured bacterium
Lineage: Bacteria
Description: partial 16S ribosomal RNA
Rfam family: Bacterial small subunit ribosomal RNA
Source: RNAcentral
GACGAACGCUGGCGGCGUGCUUAACACAUGCAAGUCGAACGGAAAGGCCCUGCUUUUGUGGGGUGCUCGAGUGGCGAACGGGUGAGUAACACGUGAGUAACCUGCCCUUGACUUUGGGAUAACUUCAGGAAACUGGGGCUAAUACCGGAUAGGAGCUCCUGCUGCAUGGUGGGGGUUGGAAAGUUUCGGCGGUUGGGGAUGGACUCGCGGCUUAUCAGCUUGUUGGUGGGGUAGUGGCUUACCAAGGCUUUGACGGGUAGCCGGCCUGAGAGGGUGACCGGGCACAAUUGGACUGAGAGAACGGCCAGACUCCCACCGGGGGGAGGAGGUGGGAAUAAUUCACCAUGGGCCGAAGGCUGAAUGAGCCAACCCGCGGGGCGGAAGGAGGGCUUCCGGGUGGUAAACGGCUUUCGCCGGUAACGAGGCGUAGGGAACGGUAUUGGUAAAGAAGCACCGGCUAACUACGUG